UUGACCUCGGAUCAGGUAGGGAUACCCGCUGAACUUAAGCAUAUCAAUAAGCGGAGGAAAAGAAACCAACAGGGAUUGCCCUAGUAACGGCGAGUGAAGCGGCAACAGCUCAAAUUUGAAAGCUAGCCUUCGGGUUCGCAUUGUAAUUUGUAGAGGAUGCUUUGGGGAAGUCGCCUGUCUAAGUUCCUUGGAACAGGACGUCAUAGAGGGUGAGAAUCCCGUAUGUGACAGGAAAUGACACCCUAUGUAAAGCUCCUUCGACGAGUCGAGUUGUUUGGGAAUGCAGCUCUAAAUGGGAGGUAAAUUUCUUCUAAAGCUAAAUACCGGCGAGAGACCGAUAGCGCACAAGUAGAGUGAUCGAAAGAUGAAAAGCACUUUGGAAAGAGAGUUAAAAAGCACGUGAAAUUGUUGAAAGGGAAGCGCUUGCAAUCAGACUUGUCUUUAACCGUUCGGCCGGUCUUCUGACCGGUUUACUCGGUAAUCGACAGGCCAGCAUCAGUUUCGGCGGUCGGAUAAAGGCCUUGGGAAUGUGGCUCUGCCUUCGGGGAGAGUGUUAUAGCCCAGGGUGUAAUACGGCCAGCCGGGACUGAGGUCCGCGAUUCGUCUAGGAUGCUGGCGUAAUGGUUGUAAGCGACCCGUCUUGAAACACGGACCAAGGAGUCUAACAUCUAUGCGAGUGUUCGGGUGUCAAACCCCUACGCGUAAUUAAAGUGAACGGAGGUGAGAACCGCAAGGUGCAUCAUCGACCGAUCCUGAUGUCUUCGGAUGGAUUUGAGUAAGAGCAUAGCUGUUGGGACCCGAAAGAUGGUGAACUAUGCCUGAAUAGGGUGAAGCCAGAGGAAACUCUGGUGGAGGCUCGCAGCGGUUCUGACGUGCAAAUCGAUCGUCAAAUUUGGGUAUAGGGGCGAAAGACUAAUCGAAC
Molecule: ribosomal RNA, 922 nt
Filed under: Dothideales sp. P44C001
Lineage: Eukaryota; Fungi; Ascomycota; Dothideomycetes; Dothideales
Description: LSU rRNA
Rfam family: Eukaryotic large subunit ribosomal RNA
Source: RNAcentral